AACGAACGCUGGCGGCAUGCCUAACACAUGCAAGUCGAACGAAGCCUUCGGGCUUAGUGGCGCACGGGUGCGUAACGCGUGGGAAUCUGCCCUUGGGUUCGGAAUAACAGUUAGAAAUGACUGCUAAUACCGGAUGAUGUCUUCGGACCAAAGAUUUAUCGCCCAAGGAUGAGCCCGCGUAGGAUUAGGGAGUUGGGGGGGUAAUGGCCCACCAAGCCGACGAUCCUUAGCUGGUCUGGGGGGAUGAUCAGCCACACUGGGACUGGGACACGGCCCAGACUCCUACGGGAGGCAGCAGGGGGGGAAUAUUGGACAAUGGGCGAAAGCCUGAUCCAGCAAUGCCGCGUGAGUGAUGAAGGCCUUAGGGUUGUAAAGCUCUUUUACCAGGGAUGAUAAUGACAGUACCUGGAGAAUAAGCUCCGGCUAACUCCGUGCCAGCAGCCGCCGUAA
Molecule: ribosomal RNA, 450 nt
Filed under: uncultured bacterium
Lineage: Bacteria
Description: partial 16S ribosomal RNA
Rfam family: Bacterial small subunit ribosomal RNA
Source: RNAcentral